This 762-nucleotide ribosomal RNA is filed under the name uncultured Peptostreptococcus sp. Its description in RNAcentral is "bacterial SSU rRNA". It matches the Rfam family "Bacterial small subunit ribosomal RNA", at positions 28 to 776 of the family's 1533-position model. The record is from RNAcentral. Lineage: Bacteria; Bacillati; Bacillota; Clostridia; Peptostreptococcales; Peptostreptococcaceae.
GAUGAACGCAGGCGGCGUGCCUAACACAUGCAAGUCGAGCGAGGGUUUGCUCAGUAUUGAGUAUUCUAAGUCUAGAAUGUUCAAUUCUGAGCAAAACCAAGCGGCGGACGGGUGAGUAACGCGUGGGUAACCUGCCCUAUACACAUGGAUAACAUACUGAAAAGUUUACUAAUACAUGAUAAUAUAUAUUUGCGGCAUCGCAGAUAUAUCAAAGUGUUAGCGGUAUAGGAUGGACCCGCGUCUGAUUAGCUAGUUGGUGAGAUAACUGCCCACCAAGGCGACGAUCAGUAGCCGACCUGAGAGGGUGAUCGGCCACAUUGGAACUGAGACACGGUCCAAACUCCUACGGGAGGCAGCAGUGGGGAAUAUUGCACAAUGGGCGAAAGCCUGAUGCAGCAACGCCGCGUGAACGAUGAAGGUCUUCGGAUCGUAAAGUUCUGUUGCAGGGGAAGAUAAUGACGGUACCCUGUGAGGAAGCCCCGGCUAACUACGUGCCAGCAGCCGCGGUAAUACGUAGGGGGCUAGCGUUAUCCGGAUUUACUGGGCGUAAAGGGUGCGUAGGUGGUCCUUCAAGUCGGUGGUUAAAGGCUACGGCUCAACCGUAGUAAGCCGCCGAAACUGGAGAACUUGAGUGCAGGAGAGGAAAGUGGAAUUCCCAGUGUAGCGGUGAAAUGCGUAGAUAUUGGGAGGAACACCAGUAGCGAAGGCGGCUUUCUGGACUGCAACUGACACUGAGGCACGAAAGCGUGGGUAGCAAACAGG